AGAGUUGAUCAUGGCUCAGGAUGAACGCUAGCUACAGGCUUAACACAUGCAAGUCGUGGGGCAGCAUGGCGGUAGCAAUACCGCUGAUGGCGACCGGCGCACGGGUGAGUAACGCGUAUCCAACCUGGCCCACAGUAGGGGAUAGCCCGGCGAAAGUCGGAUUAAUACCCUAUGUUUUCCCCUGAGAGCAUUUGACGGGGAACAAAGAUUCAUCGCUAUGGGGAUGGGGAUGCGUCCGAUUAGCUUGACGGCGGGGUAACGGCCCACCGUGGCUUCGAUCGGUAGGGGUUCUGAGAGGAAGGUCCCCCACAUUGGAACUGAGACACGGUCCAAACUCCUACGGGAGGCAGCAGUGAGGAAUAUUGGUCAAUGGGCGUAAGCCUGAAAACCCAGCCAAGUAGCGUGCAGGAUGACGGCCCUACGGGUUGUAAACUGCUUUUGCCGGGGAAUAAAGUUCGGGACGCGUCCCGUUUUGUAUGUACCCGGAGAAUAAGGACCGGCUAAUUCCGUGCCAGCCGCCGC
RNAcentral lists this ribosomal RNA (522 nucleotides) under uncultured bacterium. Its description in RNAcentral is "bacterial SSU rRNA". It matches the Rfam family "Bacterial small subunit ribosomal RNA", at positions 8 to 518 of the family's 1533-position model. The record is from RNAcentral.